AUUGAACGCUGGCGGCAUGCCUUACACAUGCAAGUCGAACGGUAACAGGUCUUCGGAUGCUGACGAGUGGCGAACGGGUGAGUAAUACAUCGGAACGUGCCCAAUCGUGGGGGAUAGCUCGGCGAAAGCCGGAUUAAUACCGCAUACGAUCUACGGAUGAAAGCAGGGGAUCGCAAGACCUUGCGCGAAUGGAGCGGCCGAUGGCAGAUUAGGUAGUUGGUGGGGUAAAGGCUCACCAAGCCGACGAUCUGUAGCUGGUCUGAGAGGACGACCAGCCACACUGGGACUGAGACACGGCCCAGACUCCUACGGGAGGCAGCAGUGGGGAAUUUUGGACAAUGGGCGCAAGCCUGAUCCAGCAAUGCCGCGUGCAGGAUGAAGGCCUUCGGGUUGUAAACUGCUUUUGUACGGAACGAAAAAGCUCUGGCUAAUACCCGGGGCUCAUGACGGUACCGUAAGAAUAAGCACCGGCUAACUACGUGCCAGCCGCCGCCGUAA
This 498-nucleotide ribosomal RNA is filed under the name uncultured bacterium. RNAcentral's name for it is "partial 16S ribosomal RNA". It matches the Rfam family "Bacterial small subunit ribosomal RNA", at positions 30 to 523 of the family's 1533-position model. The record is from RNAcentral.